AACCAACAGAGGCAUACAAAUGAGACCGGGGCUGACACAGAGCCAGGUAAUACCAGUGUGGCCAGUCUAGCUGCUUAUGUCCAGUAUCCAUUCUAAUUGGUUAGUGCCCGUGCCAUACGAGUGGUUAAAUAUUUUGAUCAUCACCCCUGUAAUAAGAAAGGACUUCCUAGCAAUAAAGAUGUUGUAACAUCUUGGGUUACUAGGGGAGGUUCUAAAGUCUCCAUUUCGAGACAUCCAUUAUACGAUGGCAUCAUCUGCCUGGAGGCUGGGGGACAGCCCCUAAUCUGUAAUACCAGUCUCUGAAUAUCUUUCGGAUCACUGAUGAGCUCCUCCCACUUUCCCAGUGCAUCUCCACCCUGCUGAUGCUGGUCACCAGCGACAUGUACACACUCAUCAACUACGUGGGCUUCAUCAACUACCUCUUCUAUGGGGUCACGGUUGCCGGACAGAUAGUCCUUCGCUGGAAGAAGCCUGAUAUCCCCCGCCCCAUCAAGAUCAACCUGCUGUUCCCCAUCAUCUACUUGCUGUUCUGGGCCUUCCUGCUGGUCUUCAGCCUGUGGUCAGAGCCGGUGGUGUGUGGCAUUGGCCUGGCCAUCAUGCUGACAGGAGUGCCUGUCUAUUUCCUGGGUGUUUACUGGCAACACAAGCCCAAGUGUUUCAGUGACUUCAUUGAGCUGCUAACCCUGGUGAGCCAGAAGAUGUGUGUGGUCGUGUACCCCGAGGUGGAGCGGGGCUCAGGGACAGAGGAGGCUAACGAGGACAUGGAGGAGCAGCAGCAGCCCAUGUACCAACCCACUCCCACCAAGGACAAGGACGUGGCGGGGCAGCCCCAGCCCUGAGGACCACCAUUCCCUGGCUACUCUCUCCUUCCUCCCCCUUUUAUCCUACCUCCCUGCCUUGGUCCCGCCAACACAUGCGAGUACACACACACCCCUCUCUCUGCUUUUGUCAGGCAGUGGUAGGACUUUGGUGUGGGUGGUGAGAAAUUGUAAACAAAAACUGACAUUCAUACCCAAAGAACCAGCCUCUCACCCCAGGGUCCAUGUCCCAGGCCCCACUCCAGUGCUGCCCACACUCCCAGCUGCCGGAGGAGAGGGUGCCCUGCAGCACCUCCCUCCGGGCCACACCCUCAGCUGCCUCUUCAGGAACUGGAGCUCAUUACUGCCUUCCCUCCCAGGGAGGCCCCUUCAGAGAGGAGAGGCCACAGGGGCUGCAUUGUGGGGGGACAGGCUCAAGCAAUUCUGUCCCCAUCAAGGGGUCAGCUGGAGAGACCCAAGAUCCCAUCUGUUCACCAGGGACCCAAAAUCCAAGGGGAUGCUUCCCUCUGCCCUCUUUCCUGCCCCUCCCCAUCAUACCUGCACCCACCCCAGCCAGGGCUUCCUGUCCAGAAUUCGGUUCUCCUCAGGACGCCAACUCCCAGAGCUAAGGACCAAGGAGAAGAACAGCCUCUCCACCCCCAAGCCAGGUGGUUGAGGAACAUAUUGAGAAAGGCUCAGAUUGCAGAAACCCAGCCCUGCCCCUGCCUCCUGCAUCCAGCCCCCAACAUGGUGCCAAAGCUUCCAGAAGCCAAAAAGCUUCUGAUUUUUAAGGUAGUGGCAUCUCUCUCCUAAUGACGAAGCUGCUCAGCAACUCCACCUGCCCGCCACAGGAAGGAGCAGUCCCCUGCUAUCCCUGCAGCCACUCCCAGCACACCCGCACACAGCCAGCACCACCGCCCCCACCGUGCACUUCUCCUCUCUGGGCCUUGGCUUGGGACCAGGUAUGAAGGAUCCCCAAGCCCUUCAGGCCUGAGAUCAGAGCCAGAUCAGCCUUAAGUCACCUCCCAUCCAAGAACUUGGCCUAAAAAUACUCCCCUAUUUCUAACCCUCAGGACGGAUCUGAUAUUAAAUGCCUUCCCUGGGAGGAAGGGCGCUUUCCCCCUCCCUAGAGGUGCCCAUUCCAUACCCUGGAAGACUGAGGAGAGCAUUAGCUGAAGCCCAGUUCCUUUCCCAUCCGUCCCCAACUCCAAUAGUCCCCCACUCCUCGCAGGUCUCAGUGUCUUGCUGUCUUGGGGCAGGGUGAAAGGGCAGUGGCAGCAGGGCGCCCACUCUGGAGAUCCUCAAAAAAGGCCCUCCUCUGUGGCUGGCAGCCUCUGACCUUUCCCUGGGCUUCAAAGGAAGGCUAUGGAGUUUGCUGUGGGCCCUGCAACCUUCCCAGCCACUCCUGCUGCACUAAGGACUUAGGAUCCUUUUAUCACAAAUCGGGAUUCUCUCCCCCACCCCGAAUUCUGUCUGCUUAAACUGGAAUACACAGGAGCCCUUCCUGGCCUGGAUGGUGUCUCCCAGCUUCCCCGCCCAGCUUGCCCACCCCAUAGUUGGUGAGAUGCCAAGUUUGGUCUGAGUUGUGACCCCUUCAGAGUAGAUGCCCGGCAGGCUGGGGUUGGCCCCUGGAGGGUCAGGGGACCAUCUUCUUAUUCCCUCUUUUCUCAUUCCUCCAACUUCCUCCCCUCCUUCAAUUAUUUUUUUGUAAAGUUGAUGCCUUACUUUUUGGAUAAAUAUUUUUGAAGCUGGUAUUUCUAUUUCUUUUGGAUUUUUUUUAAUGUAAGGUUGUUUUGGGGGGUGGAGUUAGAACCUUAAUGAUAAUUUCUUUCGUUUGGUGUAGGUUUUAGAGAUUUGUGGAGAGGUUUUUUUCUUUUGAUGUAAUAAAAUUUAAAAUGGAAAUG
This 2701-nucleotide small RNA is filed under the name Pan troglodytes (chimpanzee). RNAcentral describes it as "retained intron". The record is from RNAcentral. Lineage: Eukaryota; Metazoa; Chordata; Mammalia; Primates; Hominidae.